Molecule: long non-coding RNA, 366 nt
Filed under: Marmota monax (woodchuck)
Lineage: Eukaryota; Metazoa; Chordata; Mammalia; Rodentia; Sciuridae
Source: RNAcentral
GUUUCAAAGCAGACAUUGGGGUUAUUACAAAUUGAUCAACCUUUUUGGGCCUUUGAUUAGUCAACAGGUAUUUAAUGAGUCCUUCCAGUGCCUUCGUUUUCAACAAUCCUCAAGGUAAGAAAUAAUCUAGGCCUUCAAGGCCCACCAUUAAUUCAAAAUAUCAAGACUCUCACACAUGAAACUGCAUACAGAGAGAGUUAAAAGAGACUAGGAUUGCAGCUAUUCAAAGAAAAUGAAUAGGAAAUGUGAUUUACUGAGCAUCUAGGGUUUGGUGUCUGCUAGGUUACCUUCCAAUUCUUCAGUUCCGUAAAUAUUUGUUGAGUACCUAUGCUAACCAUUUUAAUGACUUUAUGUCAUCUGACCUUG